AGUGAACGCUGGCGGUAGGCCUAACACAUGCAAGUCGAACGGCAGCACAGUAAGAGCUUGCUCUUACGGGUGGCGAGUGGCGGACGGGUGAGGAGUACAUCGGAAUCUACUUUUUCGUGGGGGAUAACGUAGGGAAACUUACGCUAAUACCGCAUACGACCUACGGGUGAAAGCAGGGGAUCUUCGGACCUUGCGCGAUUGAAUGAGCCGAUGUCGGAUUAGCUAGUUGGCGGGGUAAAGGCCCACCAAGGCGACGAUCCGUAGCUGGUCUGAGAGGAUGGUCAGCCACACUGGAACGGAGACACGGUCCAGACUCCUACGGGAGGCAGCAGUGGGGAAUGUUGGACAAUGGGCGCAAGCCUGAUCCAGCCAUACCGCGUGGGUGAAGAAGGCCUUCGGGUUGUAAAGACCUUUUGUUGGGAAAGAAAAGCAGCAGGUUAAUACCCCGCUGUUCUGACGGUACCCAAAGAAUAAGCACCGGCUAACUUCGUG
Molecule: ribosomal RNA, 492 nt
Filed under: uncultured bacterium
Lineage: Bacteria
Description: partial 16S ribosomal RNA
Rfam family: Bacterial small subunit ribosomal RNA
Source: RNAcentral